GGGGAUAACACUUGGAAACAGGUGCUAAUACCGUAUAACACUAUUUUCCGCAUGGAAGAAAGUUGAAAGGCGCUUUUGCGUCACUGAUGGAUGGACCCGCGGUGCAUUAGCUAGUUGGUGAGGUAACGGCUCACCAAGGCCACGAUGCAUAGCCGACCUGAGAGGGUGAUCGGCCACACUGGGACUGAGACACGGCCCAGACUCCUACGGGAGGCAGCAGUAGGGAAUCUUCGGCAAUGGACGAAAGUCUGACCGAGCAACGCCGCGUGAGUGAAGAAGGUUUUCGGAUCGUAAAACUCUGUUGUUAGAGAAGAACAAGGAUGAGAGUAAAAUGUUCAUCCCUUGACGGUAUCUAACCAGAAAGCCACGGCUAACUACGUGCCAGCAGCCGCGGUAAUACGUAGGUGGCAAGCGUUGUCCGGAUUUAUUGGGCGUAAAGCGAGCGCAGGCGGUUUCUUAAGUCUGAUGUGAAAGCCCCCGGCUCGACCGGGGAGGGUCAUUGGAAACUGGGAGACUUGAGUGCAGAAGAGGAGAGUGGAAUUCCAUGUGUAGCGGUGAAAUGCGUAGAUAUAUGGAGGAACACCAGUGGCGAAGGCGGCUCUCUGGUCUGUAACUGACGCUGAGGCUCGAAAGCGUGGGGAGCGAACAGGAUUAGAUACCCU
RNAcentral lists this ribosomal RNA (662 nucleotides) under uncultured bacterium. RNAcentral's name for it is "bacterial SSU rRNA". It matches the Rfam family "Bacterial small subunit ribosomal RNA", at positions 139 to 788 of the family's 1533-position model. The record is from RNAcentral.